GACGAACGCUGGCGGCGCGCCUAACACAUGCAAGUCGAACGGAGCGCACUGUGUGAAGCUCUUCGGAGCGGAACUUUGUGUUGCUUAGUGGCGAACGGGUGAGUAACACGUGAAUAACCUACCUCUGAGUGGGGGACAACAUUUGGAAACAGAUGCUAAUACCGCAUAAGACCACGGUGUCGCAUGGCACAGUGGCCAAAGGAGCAAUUCGCUCGGAGAUGGAUUCGCGCCCGAUUAGCUAGAUGGCGGGGUAACGGCCCACCAUGGCAACGAUCGGUAGCCGGACUGAGAGGUUGAACGGCCACAUUGGGACUGAGACACGGCCCAGACUCCUACGGGAGGCAGCAGUGGGGAAUAUUGCACAAUGGGCGAAAGCCUGAUGCAGCGACGCCGCGUGAGGGAAGAAGGUUUUCGGAUUGUAAACCUCUGUCUUCGGGGACGAUAAUGACGGUACCCGAGGAGGAAGCCACGGCUAACUACGUGCCAGCAGCCGCAGUAACAC
This 502-nucleotide ribosomal RNA is filed under the name uncultured bacterium. RNAcentral's name for it is "bacterial SSU rRNA". It matches the Rfam family "Bacterial small subunit ribosomal RNA", at positions 28 to 526 of the family's 1533-position model. The record is from RNAcentral.